Poecilia latipinna (sailfin molly) is the source of this 834-nucleotide long non-coding RNA. RefSeq lists it as uncharacterized. Lineage: Eukaryota; Metazoa; Chordata; Actinopteri; Cyprinodontiformes; Poeciliidae. The transcript is spliced from 2 exons. The record is from RefSeq and is a predicted model, not a curated record.
AGGACGAUCAGAGAGCAUCACCAGAACUUCACUAUUGCCUAAAUAACCUUAAUGUAACAGAGAAAAAAAAAGCUUGUGUGUGUCUUUGUAUUGCUAGAAGGAAAACAAACACUUUCAUCUGAUCAGAAAUAAUCUACAGAAACUUUAACUCUGCAAUAAAAGUAGUAUCGCCCUCUGGUGUUCGGAGAAGGAACUGCAUCCUACAGAGAAGUUCCUGGUUUCAGUGAAGCAGGAAGAGAAACUGAAACCAUCAUCAGCUCAGGAUGAAGGUCUGUCUCACUUUGAUCUGCCUCUUCUUCCUCAGUGAGUACAUUUACAUUUAUUUCUAUCAUCUUCUGUGCUCUCAGUCCUUCAUCCUUUCAGUUCCUCACAUUUUAUCAGAGAGAACUCCAACUUUGUUAAAAGAUUUUAAGCCGUGUGUUUCACUAGUUUCAUCUGUUUCAUUCUGUUGGUUCUGUAGUAAAACAUGUUGAUGAUCCGUUUUAAAUAUAAAAAGUUUCAUUGUGAGGCCAACUAAAUUAUGCAAAGCUUGUCAAAUCACAUUUUUUUUGCUAAUUGCACUAAUUAAUUUCUUUUCUGUAUUGAUGAUCAGAUAAUUUCAGCACAAAACCAGAAAACUAACCAUCAGAAAAUUGUUGAAAUGCUAAAAAUUAGUUUUAAAUAAAUGUACAGUUGUAUAAACUUCAGAGUUUGUUGAUUUGGAGAACUUGAAACAAAAACAGCAAAAAAUAAAUAAAUCAAUGAUAUUAAUGUUUUAGCUUUUAAACAAGUUUUGAUUUGCUUCUCAGUUAGUGAUUUAAGUACAUGGUGGAACAAAGAAACCAGGUUGUUUAG